AGAGUUUGAUCCUGGCUCAGAUUGAACGCUGGCGGCAUGCUUUACACAUGCAAGUCGAACGGUAACGCGGGGGCAACCCUGGCGACGAGUGGCGAACGGGUGAGUAAUACAUCGGAACAUGUCCUGGAGUGGGGGAUAGCUCGGCGAAAGCCGGAUUAAUACCGCAUAAGCUCUGAGGAGGAAAGCGGGGGACCUUCGGGCCUCGCGCUGCAGGAGUGGCCGAUGUCGGAUUAGCUAGUUGGUGAGGUAAAGGCUCACCAAGGCGACGAUCCGUAGCUGGUCUGAGAGGAUGAUCAGCCACACUGGGACUGAGACACGGCCCAGACUCCUACGGGAGGCAGCAGUGGGGAAUUUUGGACAAUGGGGGCAACCCUGAUCCAGCCAUGCCGCGUGAGUGAAGAAGGCCUUCGGGUUGUAAAGCUCUUUCGGACGGGACGAAAAGGUUAUGGUGAAUAGCCAUGACUAAUGACGGUACCGUAAUAAGAAGCACCGGCUAACUACGUGCCAGCAGCCGCGGUAAU
This 521-nucleotide ribosomal RNA is filed under the name uncultured bacterium. RNAcentral's name for it is "bacterial SSU rRNA". It matches the Rfam family "Bacterial small subunit ribosomal RNA", at positions 8 to 524 of the family's 1533-position model. The record is from RNAcentral.